GUCAAGGCGCCGGUGUAGCUACACAGAAACAGGCACACAUCAUGCUUGCAUUUCUUACGAAAAGAGGAAUUACUAGCACCGAAUUCAAGCAUAAGGAUCCUCCUAUCUGUUGCUGUGGUGAUUGUACUAUGAUUUUAUCUAUGAGGAGAUGCAAUCUCUUCAGUCCGAUAGACCCUGGAUAAUCUCACUCAUCCCAUAAACUAUCUGCAGCAUUCUUGAAAAGGGUAUUUCCUUUGUUACAAGACAUUGCAGAGCUUAUAUCGGUAAGUGUAACAUGUGAUGUUGUUUUUUGAGAUGUUGUAAUAUUUGUGCCCAUGAAUGCUUCAGUUUUUCGGAUUUUUUGAUCCCAAGCCCUCUGUGACGUAACCGUAAAUGCAAGUGUCACAUUUUAUUAAAGUAAUUUUAUUAAAGCAUGCUUCACAGAAAUAAACAGGAAAAUAACAAUAUUGAGCUUAAUUUAGUUCACUUCAGUUCAAUAGCUGUCAGUGUCAGUGUUGGGGGUAACGCAUUACAAGUAACUUGAGUUACGUAAUCAGAUUACUUCUUAGUAACUAGUAAAGUAACGCAUUUUUCAGUUUACAACAAAAUAUCUAAGUUACUUUUUCAAAUAAGUAACGCAAGUUACUUUUUCACAUGGACUGACAGCUCUCCUGUCCCCAUAUUGAGAGAAAUCUGGAUUGCAGAGGUAGUUCUAGACUAAAUGUGAACAUGCAUUUACUCAUCUCACUUGCACAAAAACAUUCAGUAUUCCUCAAAAUGGAUAAAAACAGUGAAAUGCAAUCUCAGAAUUUUACGCAAACCUGUUAUAAUUAACUAUAUUAAAUUACACAAAUACACUUUAUGUAUUUAAUCUCACUUUAUUAACCAAUGUCUUUGCUGCUGACCUUCAAAUAAGAGUGUUGAACUUCCUUCUCCUGUAUCCUAUUCUUCUUUAAUCCAGAAUGGCGGCACAGCUGAAAGGUUUGUUUGAGCUGCACCCUCUACUGUACAGGUGCAAAUAUGCAUUUCCUUCAGCCUGACGCUUAUUCAUUUCACUUUUGGUGUGAAAGGGCUUUUACAUCUGCCAAAAAUAUAAAUUUUUUGUUGUUAUUAAAAAACAAACAAGCAAGCCCAGCCAAGGUCAGUGUUGCAAAAAGUUCAUCAAUUAUGAAACAAAUAAAAUUUCAGCAGUAAACCGGCAGCAGCUCUACAGAAGGAAAUUGUGUCAUUAUUCAGCUUAAUUUAGUUCAAUAACUGUCAAUGUUUCAAAGUUCAUCAGUGAUGAAACAAACUCAUUUCAGCUGAAGACAAGUGUAAUUUUUCAGCUCAUUAUUCUUUCUUUCUUUCUUUCUUUCUUUCAUUUACAUUUAUUGAUUUAGCAGACACUUUUAUCCAAAGCGACUUGCAAACAAGGAAUACAACAAGCAAUUUAUAAUUAAGUACAAAGAAGUUGUCAUUUUCUUGGAUGUCUUGACUCUUUAUUGAAGUUCAUCUCAUCUGCUAUACUGUAUGCAAACAGGGAGUUAUUGAAUGUUAUUCAGUCAAAUUACCUCUUUGAGACCUCUAACCUUUCGAUGGCCUUGGCUAUUAACUAAUACAUCACAAAGAGCUCCACUAAAUAUAAUUAAUCAAUGGGUAUAAGAGGCUGUGUUACAUGGCACGUUUCUCACUCUCAAAUCUAUCUUUAUAUUAUUUUAUUAUGCAAAUUCAUUAAGUUCUGCACUUCUAAAGAUUUAUUCAACUAAAGUGAGUACGUUGAGUGCUGUGUGUAGUGUGUGUUCGUGUCAGCUGUUACUAUUUUGUGUAUUUUAGCAUGGCUAGAAGAAUGCUGCGUCUUGUGCCGGAAACUCCCUGGAUGGAUGGCCGGUCCAUCACAGUCUUACUUUAAUUAUGUACAAAGAGCAGAGCACUGCAGGACACAAGUAUAUACAAAUGCCAUGUGAAAUCUGGUUGCUUUUUGGCAUGGUCUUCAGGUCUCCAGUGAGGAAUUCCCCAUUAUUUGGCUGUUAUAAAACAGAUGAUGCAUGGAUUGAGGAAUCAGCUCUGCUGGACUCUGUCUCAGUCGUACACCUCCAGAGUUCUCACAAAGUGGAGUUCAUACAUUUUCAGACAAGCACUCCAGAUGUCCAUGGGUGAAGAGGAGACUGGAGCGUUACAGCUGCAUGCAUUCAGACGACAAAUACAGUCAGUCACAAAUGAUCCAUACUCCAAUCCAGAAGGGGGCGCUUGUGGUAUUGCAACGCUGUUUGCUAACCGCCACAACAGGAAAAAGCGCAGAAGAAAAAGAACAGAUGAUCUAUGCAUAGAUAUGUUUACGUGUAAUAUCUAAUUUUUUGUAACUGCGGAAAGAAAUCAAUAAACAGCUUAAGAGUAA
Ctenopharyngodon idella (grass carp) is the source of this 2353-nucleotide long non-coding RNA. RefSeq lists it as uncharacterized. The record is from RefSeq and is a predicted model, not a curated record. The transcript has 5 exons. NCBI's taxonomy places the organism in Eukaryota, Metazoa, Chordata, Actinopteri, Cypriniformes, Xenocyprididae.